RNAcentral lists this transfer RNA (72 nucleotides) under Candidatus Iainarchaeum sp. RNAcentral describes it as "tRNA-Thr". It matches the Rfam family "tRNA". Rfam says of the family: Transfer RNA (tRNA) molecules are approximately 80 nucleotides in length. Their secondary structure includes four short double-helical elements and three loops (D, anti-codon, and T loops). The record is from RNAcentral. Lineage: Archaea; Nanobdellati; Candidatus Iainarchaeota; Candidatus Iainarchaeia; Candidatus Iainarchaeales; Candidatus Iainarchaeaceae.
GCCCUCCUGGCUCAGUGGUAGAGCACGUCCUUGGUAAGGACGAGGUCCCGGGUUCGAUUCCCGGGGAGGGCU